GACGAACGCUGGCGGCGUGCCUAAUACAUGCAAGUCGAGCGAAGUUUUUCUGGUGCUUGCACCGGAAAAACUUAGCGGCGAACGGGUGAGUAACACGUAAAGAACCUGCCUCAUAGACUGGGACAACUAUUGGAAACGAUAGCUAAUACCGGAUAACAGCAUUAACUGCAUGGUUGAUGUUUAAAAGUUGGUUUUGCUAACACUAUGAGAUGGCUUUGCGGUGCAUUAGCUAGUUGGUGGGGUAAAGGCCUACCAAGGCGACGAUGCAUAGCCGACCUGAGAGGGUGAUCGGCCACACUGGGACUGAGACACGGCCCAGACUCCUACGGGAGGCAGCAGUAGGGAAUCUUCCGCAAUGGGCGAAAGCCUGACGGAGCAACGCCGCGUGAGUGAAGAAGGAUUUCGGUUCGUAAAGCUCUGUUGUUAGGGAAGAAUGAUUGUGUAGUAACUAUACACAGUAGAGACGGUACCUAACCAGA
Molecule: ribosomal RNA, 479 nt
Filed under: Gemella haemolysans
Lineage: Bacteria; Bacillati; Bacillota; Bacilli; Caryophanales; Gemellaceae
Description: bacterial SSU rRNA
Rfam family: Bacterial small subunit ribosomal RNA
Source: RNAcentral